GCGGCAAAAGCUCAAAUUUGAAAUCUGGCUCUUUCAGAGUCCGAGUUGUAAUUUGAAGAAGGUAUCUUUGGGUCUGGCUCUUGUCUAUGUUUCUUGGAACAGAACGUCACAGAGGGUGAGAAUCCCGUGCGAUGAGAUGAUCCAGGCCUAUGUAAAGUUCCUUCGAAGAGUCGAGUUGUUUGGGAAUGCAGCUCUAAGUGGGUGGUAAAUUCCAUCUAAAGCUAAAUAUUGGCGAGAGACCGAUAGCGAACAAGUACAGUGAUGGAAAGAUGAAAAGAACUUUGAAAAGAGAGUGAAAAAGUACGUGAAAUUGUUGAAAGGGAAGGGCUUGAGAUCAGACUUGGUAUUUUGUAUGUUACUUCUUCGGGGGUGGCCUCUACAGUUUAUCGGGCCAGCAUCAGUUUGGGCGGUAGGAGAAUUGCGUUGGAAUGUGGCACGGCUUCGGUUGUGUGUUAUAGCCUUCGUCGAUACUGCCAGCCUAGACUGAGGACUGCGGUUUAUACCUAGGAUGUUGGCAUAAUGAUCUUAAGUCGCCCGUCUUGAA
This 544-nucleotide ribosomal RNA is filed under the name Candida tropicalis. RNAcentral describes it as "LSU rRNA". It matches the Rfam family "Eukaryotic large subunit ribosomal RNA", at positions 98 to 658 of the family's 3401-position model. The record is from RNAcentral. Lineage: Eukaryota; Fungi; Ascomycota; Pichiomycetes; Serinales; Debaryomycetaceae.